GGUCCCUAUGGGAACAUCCAAAAAAUUUUAUUGUUACAGUUAUGAUUAGCACGGCCCCUGCACAAGGAUGAAUCAGUGGGGAUCUUUUUUUUUUUUUU
Molecule: small nuclear RNA, 98 nt
Organism: Macadamia integrifolia
Lineage: Eukaryota; Viridiplantae; Streptophyta; Magnoliopsida; Proteales; Proteaceae
Source: RefSeq, a predicted model, not a curated record